AAGAUAACUUGGCAGGAGAGAUACCAUGAUCAUGAAGAUGAGACUUUUCCAUCACAAUUUCCCCAACUGUGGGAAACUCGACUGCAUAAUUUGUGGUAGGGGGACUGUGUCAGCGCUUUGCCCUG
RNAcentral lists this small nuclear RNA (125 nucleotides) under Vicugna pacos (alpaca). RNAcentral describes it as "U1 spliceosomal RNA (ENSVPAG00000017923.1)". It matches the Rfam family "U1 spliceosomal RNA". Rfam says of the family: U1 is a small nuclear RNA (snRNA) component of the spliceosome (involved in pre-mRNA splicing). Its 5' end forms complementary base pairs with the 5' splice junction, thus defining the 5' donor site of an intron. Lineage: Eukaryota; Metazoa; Chordata; Mammalia; Artiodactyla; Camelidae. The record is from RNAcentral.